RNAcentral lists this ribosomal RNA (254 nucleotides) under uncultured bacterium. RNAcentral's name for it is "partial 16S ribosomal RNA". It matches the Rfam family "Bacterial small subunit ribosomal RNA", at positions 524 to 776 of the family's 1533-position model. The record is from RNAcentral.
UACGUAGGGUGCGAGCGUUGUCCGGAAUUAUUGGGCGUAAAGAGCUCGUAGGCGGUGUGUCGCGUCGGUCGUGAAAACUUGGGGCUUAACCCUGAGCGUGCGGUCGAUACGGGCAUCACUUGAGUUCGGCAGGGGAGACUGGAAUUCCUGGUGUAGCGGUGAAAUGCGCAGAUAUCAGGAGGAACACCGGUGGCGAAGGCGGGUCUCUGGGCCGAUACUGACGCUGAGGAGCGAAAGCGUGGGGAGCGAACAGG